This 496-nucleotide ribosomal RNA is filed under the name uncultured bacterium. RNAcentral describes it as "partial 16S ribosomal RNA". It matches the Rfam family "Bacterial small subunit ribosomal RNA", at positions 28 to 506 of the family's 1533-position model. The record is from RNAcentral.
GAUGAACGCUGGCGGCGUGCCUAAUACAUGCAAGUCGAGCGAACAUACGAGGAGCUUGCUCCUCUGACGUUAGCGGCGGACGGGUGAGUAACACGUGGAUAACCUACCUAUAAGACUGGGAUAACUUCGGGAAACCGGAGCUAAUACCGGAUAAUAUAUUUAACCGCAUGGUUCAAUAGUGAAAGACGGUUUUGCUUUCACUUAUAGAUGGAUCCGCGCCGCAUUAGCUAGUUGGUAAGGUAACGGCUUACCAAGGCAACGAUUCGUAGCCGACCUGAGAGGGUGAUCGGCCACACUGGAAAUGAGACACGGUACAGACUCCAACGGGAGGCAGCAGUAGGGAAUCUUCCGCAGUGGGCGAAAGCCUGACGGAGCAACGACGAGUGAGUGAUGAAGGUCGUCGGAUCGUAAAACGCUGUUAUUAGGAAAGAAAAAAUGUGUAAGUAACUAUGCACGUCUUGACGGUACAUAAUCAGAAAGCCACGGCUAACUACGA